This 212-nucleotide non-coding RNA is filed under the name Ruminiclostridium cellulolyticum. Its description in RNAcentral is "Clostridium cellulolyticum T-box sequence". It matches the Rfam family "T-box leader". Rfam says of the family: Uncharged tRNA acts as the effector for transcription antitermination of genes in the T-box leader family. T-boxes are found upstream of many aminoacyl-tRNA synthetase genes and some amino acid biosynthetic genes usually in Gram-positive bacteria. The anticodon of a specific tRNA base pairs to a specifier sequence within the T-box motif, and the NCCA acceptor tail of the tRNA base pairs to a conserved bulge in the T-box antiterminator hairpin. Lineage: Bacteria; Bacillati; Bacillota; Clostridia; Eubacteriales; Oscillospiraceae. The record is from RNAcentral.
AGAAUGGCAAUGAAGGAAAGAAGUAGUUUAAUGUUUCUGACUAAAGAGAGAGGACGGUUGGUGUGAGUUCUUGCAGAGCAUUUUAUGAAGCAGUUUCCAGAGCUUCUGUCCGGUAAAAAGGACGGACGCUGUCACAGCGUUAUUGUGAAUUUACUAAGAGCCCCUUUCGGGGAAUUAGGGUGGUACCGCGUGAGAUAUCUCUCGUCCCUUUG